This 30-nucleotide ribosomal RNA is filed under the name Hypomyces chrysospermus. RNAcentral's name for it is "partial 18S ribosomal RNA". RNAcentral also lists the same sequence under 8 other names. Lineage: Eukaryota; Fungi; Ascomycota; Sordariomycetes; Hypocreales; Hypocreaceae. The record is from RNAcentral.
UCCGUAGGUGAACCUGCGGAGGAUCAUUAC